CAGCCUAUGGAAAAAAGUUGUCAGAUUUAGCAUUGCCUGUUUAUAAAGCAGGUGGGGAUUGAUCCACCAAUUCAAAAAGUUCAUCUCCUAUCCCAAAUCCAAGCAUCCUGGCCAUGUCACUCGUCUUCAGUCUAGGCUUUGGAAAAUUAUGCUGCUUCAACCAAGAAUAUACAAUGAAAACUUUCUCCAUGAUAAACAAUUCCAAUGCCUCAGGAUUAAAAAC
This 223-nucleotide unclassified non-coding RNA is filed under the name Hevea brasiliensis (rubber tree). Lineage: Eukaryota; Viridiplantae; Streptophyta; Magnoliopsida; Malpighiales; Euphorbiaceae. The record is from RNAcentral.